GACGAACGCUGGCGGCGUGCCUAAUACAUGCAAGUUGAGCGCUGAAGGUUGGUACUUGUACCAACUGGAUGAGCAGCGAACGGGUGAGUAACGCGUGGGGAAUCUGCUUUUGAGCGGGGGACAACAUUUGGAAACGAAUGCUAAUACCGCAUAAAAACUUUAAACACAAGUUUUAAGUUUGAAAGAUGCAAUUGCAUCACUCAAAGAUGAUCCCGCGUUGUAUUAGCUAGUUGGUGAGGUAAAGGCUCACCAAGGCGAUGAUACAUAGCCGACCUGAGAGGGUGAUCGGCCACAUUGGGACUGAGACACGGCCCAAACUCCUACGGGAGGCAGCAGUAGGGAAUCUUCGGCAAUGGACGAAAGUCUGACCGAGCAACGCCGCGUGAGUGAAGAAGGUUUUCGGAUCGUAAAACUCUGUUGGUAGAGAAGAACGUUGGUGAGAGUGGAAAGCUCAUCAAGUGACGGUAACUACCCAGAAAGGGACGGCUAACUACGUG
Molecule: ribosomal RNA, 497 nt
Filed under: uncultured bacterium
Lineage: Bacteria
Description: partial 16S ribosomal RNA
Rfam family: Bacterial small subunit ribosomal RNA
Source: RNAcentral